RNAcentral lists this ribosomal RNA (615 nucleotides) under Triticum aestivum (bread wheat). RNAcentral describes it as "partial small subunit ribosomal RNA". The record is from RNAcentral. Lineage: Eukaryota; Viridiplantae; Streptophyta; Magnoliopsida; Poales; Poaceae.
AUGGUGGUGAGCCAUUCACCCAGCGCCACCAUCUCCUUCUCCUCCCCGAAGCCAUCCAUCUCCACCGUCCGUGCCCAGCGCCAACCAGCACCGCCUCCAUCCAUCACCCAGCGCCACCACUACUCCUCCUACCUCCAGUGCCUACAUCCACCACACCAGCCGCUCCCUCACGCGCCGCAUCAGACACUCCGGCGCGAGUGUCUGGUCACCCGCGUGAGUGCGCCACCCAACUCCUUCGCCUCGGAUCUAUCUCACAGACCACCAGUGUGCCACCACCAUCGCCAACUCCCUCUUCCUUCUUCUGCUCUCUGCCUGCUGCUGCUUCUUCUUCCCACGCCCCUGCUGCUGCUUGCUCUCUCAAUCUCUGCUACUACUUCUCCAUCUCUUGCUGCUACUUCUUCUCUGAACCUCAUUUCUUCUCCUUGCAUCCCCUUGUUGCUGCUCCAUUCCCAAACUGCUGCUACCUAUUCUUCUUCUUCUCUGAACCUUUGUCCUUCCCCUCGUUGCUGCUCCUCACUUGCGCUAGCUGCUCCUGUUCCCUACGCCUCUGCUACUGUUUCUUGCUUCUCUUCUGAACCUGAAGCUCUCUCUCUCUCUUAUCUCAAACUGCUAUAA